GUAAAAGUCGUAACAAGGUUUCCGUAGGUGAACCUGCGGAAGGAUCAUUAUUGAAAAUAAACCUGAUGGGUUGUUGCUGGCUCUCUAGGGAGCAUGUGCACACCUUGUCAUCUUUAUAUCUCCACCUGUGCACCUUUUGUAGACAUCUUUUCCUAGAUGUCUAUGUUGAUUCUUCAUUUACCCCCAAUGUAUGUCAAUAGAAUGUUGUGAUAAAAAUCUAUACAACUUUCAGCAACGGAUCUCUUGGCUCUCGCAUCGAUGAAGAACGCAGCGAAAUGCGAUAAGUAAUGUGAAUUGCAGAAUUCAGUGAAUCAUCGAAUCUUUGAACGCACCUUGCGCUCCUUGGUAUUCCGAGGAGCAUGCCUGUUUGAGUGUCAUUAAUAUUAUAUAUCAAACCCUCUUUUUCUGGAGUGGUUUGGAUGUGGGGGGUUGCUGGCCUCUUGAAAGGGGUCAGCUCUCCUGAAAUGCAUUAGCGGAACAACCUGUUCGUUCAUUGGUGUGAUAACUAUCUACGCUAUUGAAUGGUGAAAGGCAGUUCAGCUUCCUAACUGUCUUUUGGACAAUUUAACAAUCUAUAUGUGACCUCAAAUCAGGUAGGACUACCCGCUGAACUUAAG
Molecule: ribosomal RNA, 617 nt
Filed under: Cortinarius clarobrunneus
Lineage: Eukaryota; Fungi; Basidiomycota; Agaricomycetes; Agaricales; Cortinariaceae
Description: eukaryotic LSU rRNA
Rfam family: 5.8S ribosomal RNA (bases 224-377)
Source: RNAcentral